GACGAACGCUGGCGGCGUGCUUAACACAUGCAAGUCGAACGGUAAGGCCCUUCGGGGUACACGAGUGGCGAACGGGUGAGUAACACGUGGGUGAUCUGCCCUGCACUUCGGGAUAAGCCUGGGAAACUGGGUCUAAUACCGGAUAGGACCACUUCCUGCAUGGGUGGUGGUGGAAAGCUUUUGCGGUGUGUGAUGGGCCCGCGGCCUAUCAGCUUGUUGGUGGGGUGAUGGCCUACCAAGGCGACGACGGGUAGCCGGCCUGAGAGGGUGACCGGCCACACUGGGACUGAGAUACGGCCCAGACUCCUACGGGAGGCAGCGGUGGGGAAUAUUGCACAAUGGGCGCAAGCCUGAUGCAGCGACGCCGCGUGAGGGAUGACGGCCUUCGGGUUGUAAACCUCUUUCAGCACCGACGAAGCGCAAGUGACGGUAGGUGCAGAAGAAGGACCGGCCAACUACGUGCCAGCCGCCGCGGUAA
Molecule: ribosomal RNA, 478 nt
Filed under: uncultured bacterium
Lineage: Bacteria
Description: partial 16S ribosomal RNA
Rfam family: Bacterial small subunit ribosomal RNA
Source: RNAcentral